This 72-nucleotide transfer RNA is filed under the name Capra hircus (goat). It matches the Rfam family "tRNA". Rfam says of the family: Transfer RNA (tRNA) molecules are approximately 80 nucleotides in length. Their secondary structure includes four short double-helical elements and three loops (D, anti-codon, and T loops). Lineage: Eukaryota; Metazoa; Chordata; Mammalia; Artiodactyla; Bovidae. The record is from Rfam by way of RNAcentral. RNAcentral also lists the same sequence under 1 other name.
UCCUCUGUGGUCCAGUGGCUAAGGCUCUGUGCUCCCAAUGCAGGGGCCCAGGUUCGAUCCCUGGUCAGGGAA